RNAcentral lists this ribosomal RNA (466 nucleotides) under uncultured bacterium. RNAcentral's name for it is "partial 16S ribosomal RNA". It matches the Rfam family "Bacterial small subunit ribosomal RNA", at positions 28 to 507 of the family's 1533-position model. The record is from RNAcentral.
GACGAACGCUGGCGGCGUGCUUAACACAUGCAAGUCGAACGGAAAGGCCUCUUUCGGGGGGUACUCGAGUGGCGAACGGGUGAGUAACACGUGAGUAACCUGCCCUUGACUUUGGGAUAACUUCAGGAAACUGGGGCUAAUACCGGAUAGGAGCUCUGCUGCAUGGUGGGGGUUGGAAAGUUUCGGCGGUUGGGGAUGGACUCGCGGCUUAUCAGCUUGUUGGUGGGGUAGUGGCUUACCAAGGCUUUGACGGGUAGCCGGCCUGAGAGGGUGACCGGCCACAUUGGGACUGAGAUACGGCCCAGACUCCUACGGGAGGCAGCAGUGGGGAAUAUUGCACAAUGGGUGGAAGCCUGAUGCAGCAACGCCGUGUGCGGGAUGACGGCCUUCGGGUUGUAAACCGCUUUCGCUCAUGACGAAGCUUUGUGUGACGGUAGUGGGUAAAGAAGCACCGGCUAACUACGUG